CGCUGGGAGAUUUUUUGUGAUUCGCUAGCUCUCGUUGGAAAUGAAUGAGAAAGUGCGUGUAUGAAGUGGCCAAUCGUUAUUCUACCCUAAACAGGUCAACGAAUCAUCAUUAUCCGUUUUUGGUUAGGGAAACUGACAGAUUUCCGAAUGUGUCGUUCCCCGUUCUUCACUUGGAAAACGAGCAUAGUAAACGUAAACGUAGGCGGGGAAAUGGGAGGGGCGGUCGAACGGGGUGCGUUCAUUUAUGUUUCAUGCAGGGCAGCACUUUACCUGGCCAAGUUAACCUCUCCCUGAGCUCGAAUUUCCGAAGAGCCAACGUAUGGACAGAUUCCUAGCAGGAUUACUGGCUAUACAGUCAGUUACAGAUGACUUGCACAAUGUGCUGGAAUUACGGAGUGUGUGUGUGUAUGAUGACAGGCUGGCAGAGAGCUGCAGGUCUAGACAAGCCAGCAGAAUGGAAACAUGGGAGAGGGCCUCAAACAAACUCAGUGCUGGAGAUCACCCUAUGAAUGGUAGACAAUGUGCGAAUCAUGUGAAGCCACUCCAGAUGACCCAUGUUAUGCUGUGGGAGUCCUAUACCAUACCCCCUCCUUCACUGCGAGAACACCCCUUAAACACCUCCUGGGACAUGCUGCUCCCCAUGAAUGAACCAGGAGUAACAGCAACAACAUUCAAAUCCAAAAAGCAGGGCAAAUACCAGUUCUAUUGAAAACAUUGGAAGUAUUUGCCAGGAAUAUACAUGUCAUCUGACAACUCCUGACGAAACUGCUCAACUGAGGUCACUUUUCCCCACAGAAACCUUACCCUGGGCAAGUUUAAACAGAGCCUCUUUAGUCCAACUGAAAAAUUCCAAUAAUGUCUUCAUCUUGUAAAACAUUUGUAAAACUUCAUCUUGUAACUCUUUUGACAAAAGGUUGUCCUAUGUUACAAUGUUAGAUAAUUAAGGCAAUUUUCUUUGGUCUUCAAAUGUAUUAGUUUACUGUUACUAUGCAUGGGUUGGGAAAAGCCUCAGACAGUCAAUGUCUUGUUGAUGUUCUCAGCGUUACUAUAAAACUUUUUAGCACCUCCUCGUUGAGUCAAUCGAAACAUCUCUGCAUCUUUCCCACUUUCCUUUUUCCGAAGAUGACACAAUGUGUUUACACCAG
Molecule: long non-coding RNA, 1145 nt
Organism: Esox lucius (northern pike)
Lineage: Eukaryota; Metazoa; Chordata; Actinopteri; Esociformes; Esocidae
Source: Ensembl